Molecule: small RNA, 62 nt
Filed under: Lacticaseibacillus paracasei
Lineage: Bacteria; Bacillati; Bacillota; Bacilli; Lactobacillales; Lactobacillaceae
Description: Lactobacillus paracasei Bacillus-plasmid
Source: RNAcentral
UUUGUCGACAGUUGAAGAGAUUAGUCAAUGACCGACACAAUGUCGUCGACAAGAUCACUAAA